Molecule: ribosomal RNA, 2633 nt
Filed under: Staphylococcus aureus
Lineage: Bacteria; Bacillati; Bacillota; Bacilli; Caryophanales; Staphylococcaceae
Description: partial 23S ribosomal RNA
Rfam family: Bacterial large subunit ribosomal RNA
Source: RNAcentral
ACGGGAAGAGCCCAAACCAACAAGCUUGCUUGUUGGGGUUGUAGGACACUCUAUACGGAGUUACAAAGGACGACAUUAGACGAAUCAUCUGGAAAGAUGAAUCAAAGAAGGUAAUAAUCCUGUAGUCGAAAAUGUUGUCUCUCUUGAGUGGAUCCUGAGUACGACGGAGCACGUGAAAUUCCGUCGGAAUCUGGGAGGACCAUCUCCUAAGGCUAAAUACUCUCUAGUGACCGAUAGUGAACCAGUACCGUGAGGGAAAGGUGAAAAGCACCCCGGAAGGGGAGUGAAAUAGAACCUGAAACCGUGUGCUUACAAGUAGUCAGAGCCCGUUAAUGGGUGAUGGCGUGCCUUUUGUAGAAUGAACCGGCGAGUUACGAUUUGAUGCAAGGUUAAGCAGUAAAUGUGGAGCCGUAGCGAAAGCGAGUCUGAAUAGGGCGUUUAGUAUUUGGUCGUAGACCCGAAACCAGGUGAUCUACCCUUGGUCAGGUUGAAGUUCAGGUAACACUGAAUGGAGGACCGAACCGACUUACGUUGAAAAGUGAGCGGAUGAACUGAGGGUAGCGGAGAAAUUCCAAUCGAACCUGGAGAUAGCUGGUUCUCUCCGAAAUAGCUUUAGGGCUAGCCUCAAGUGAUGAUUAUUGGAGGUAGAGCACUGUUUGGACGAGGGGCCCCUCUCGGGUUACCGAAUUCAGACAAACUCCGAAUGCCAAUUAAUUUAACUUGGGAGUCAGAACAUGGGUGAUAAGGUCCGUGUUCGAAAGGGAAACAGCCCAGACCACCAGCUAAGGUCCCAAAAUAUAUGUUAAGUGGAAAAGGAUGUGGCGUUGCCCAGACAACUAGGAUGUUGGCUUAGAAGCAGCCAUCAUUUAAAGAGUGCGUAAUAGCUCACUAGUCGAGUGACACUGCGCCGAAAAUGUACCGGGGGCUAAACAUAUUACCGAAGCUGUGGAUUGUCCUUUGGACAAUGGUAGGAGAGCGUUCUAAGGGCGUUGAAGCAUGAUCGUAAGGACAUGUGGAGCGCUUAGAAGUGAGAAUGCCGGUGUGAGUAGCGAAAGACGGGUGAGAAUCCCGUCCACCGAUUGACUAAGGUUUCCAGAGGAAGGCUCGUCCGCUCUGGGUUAGUCGGGUCCUAAGCUGAGGCCGACAGGCGUAGGCGAUGGAUAACAGGUUGAUAUUCCUGUACCACCUAUAAUCGUUUUAAUCGAUGGGGGGACGCAGUAGGAUAGGCGAAGCGUGCGAUUGGAUUGCACGUCUAAGCAGUAAGGCUGAGUAUUAGGCAAAUCCGGUACUCGUUAAGGCUGAGCUGUGAUGGGGAGAAGACAUUGUGUCUUCGAGUCGUUGAUUUCACACUGCCGAGAAAAGCCUCUAGAUAGAAAAUAGGUGCCCGUACCGCAAACCGACACAGGUAGUCAAGAUGAGAAUUCUAAGGUGAGCGAGCGAACUCUCGUUAAGGAACUCGGCAAAAUGACCCCGUAACUUCGGGAGAAGGGGUGCUCUUUAGGGUUAACGCCCAGAAGAGCCGCAGUGAAUAGGCCCAAGCGACUGUUUAUCAAAAACACAGGUCUCUGCUAAACCGUAAGGUGAUGUAUAGGGGCUGACGCCUGCCCGGUGCUGGAAGGUUAAGAGGAGUGGUUAGCUUCUGCGAAGCUACGAAUCGAAGCCCCAGUAAACGGCGGCCGUAACUAUAACGGUCCUAAGGUAGCGAAAUUCCUUGUCGGGUAAGUUCCGACCCGCACGAAAGGCGUAACGAUUUGGGCACUGUCUCAACGAGAGACUCGGUGAAAUCAUAGUACCUGUGAAGAUGCAGGUUACCCGCGACAGGACGGAAAGACCCCGUGGAGCUUUACUGUAGCCUGAUAUUGAAAUUCGGCACAGCUUGUACAGGAUAGGUAGGAGCCUUUGAAACGUGAGCGCUAGCUUACGUGGAGGCGCUGGUGGGAUACUACCCUAGCUGUGUUGGCUUUCUAACCCGCACCACUUAUCGUGGUGGGAGACAGUGUCAGGCGGGCAGUUUGACUGGGGCGGUCGCCUCCUAAAAGGUAACGGAGGCGCUCAAAGGUUCCCUCAGAAUGGUUGGAAAUCAUUCAUAGAGUGUAAAGGCAUAAGGGAGCUUGACUGCGAGACCUACAAGUCGAGCAGGGUCGAAAGACGGACUUAGUGAUCCGGUGGUUCCGCAUGGAAGGGCCAUCGCUCAACGGAUAAAAGCUACCCCGGGGAUAACAGGCUUAUCUCCCCCAAGAGUUCACAUCGACGGGGAGGUUUGGCACCUCGAUGUCGGCUCAUCGCAUCCUGGGGCUGUAGUCGGUCCCAAGGGUUGGGCUGUUCGCCCAUUAAAGCGGUACGCGAGCUGGGUUCAGAACGUCGUGAGACAGUUCGGUCCCUAUCCGUCGUGGGCGUAGGAAAUUUGAGAGGAGCUGUCCUUAGUACGAGAGGACCGGGAUGGACAUACCUCUGGUGUACCAGUUGUCGUGCCAACGGCAUAGCUGGGUAGCUAUGUGUGGACGGGAUAAGUGCUGAAAGCAUCUAAGCAUGAAGCCCCCCUCAAGAUGAGAUUUCCCAACUUCGGUUAUAAGAUCCCUCAAAGAUGAUGAGGUUAAUAGGUUCGAGGUGGAAGCAUGGUGACAUGUGGAGCU